UAUAAACAAAGGAGGGAAAUGGAAGAACCAAUAUAUAUGUGGGUGUGUGUAAUGGGAUGUUUCUUGUUUUUCUUUCUACUAUAUUCAUGCUAUUUU
Molecule: non-coding RNA, 96 nt
Filed under: Astrosyne radiata
Lineage: Eukaryota; Bacillariophyta; Fragilariophyceae; Cyclophorales; Cyclophoraceae
Source: RNAcentral